Cricetulus griseus (Chinese hamster) is the source of this 2333-nucleotide non-coding RNA. The record is from RefSeq and is a predicted model, not a curated record. NCBI's taxonomy places the organism in Eukaryota, Metazoa, Chordata, Mammalia, Rodentia, Cricetidae.
GUAGCCUCUCCUCUGUUGCUUAGAUUGUUAGUUGGCAGAUGCAUGUUUAUAAUAAUUACUUUUAAAUCUCCUUAAAAAAAACUCUGUUGGAACUUAAGGAUCAGUCAAAUAAUCAAUAUGCCUAGUUUGGUUGGAAUAGUAUGCGAAAGUCAUACACUUUUAAAUUUCUGCUAUUUCAAUAAAAUUGCAGUUGAUGUGUUCCGUCACUUGUCUGCCAAAUGACCAUUUUAAUUUGCUUGAAUUUGCUCUGAUUUUCAGGUGGUCUCUGAGGUAACAUAACUACUGUUCGGAUUUGCAGGUGCUCCCCAAAGUAGUGUUGCUACUACUGGGAUUUGCAGGUCCUCCUUGAGCCAGUGGCUACAUGUGAAAGUGAUUCAGCACGUUGGUUGGAAAUACAGGACUGCACAAAGAGUGUGGGAGCCAAACCAUUUGCUGCCCACUGCUGAGAACAGGGAACCCACAGUCAGCAGGACUGAUGUAAAAGACUUAGAGAGCUACAGGCAGAAAUUUACAUCUCUAUCCUCUUGUGAACAGCGUCCAACAGCCACCUAUGCCAUGGAAGGAGUCGGACAUACAGAGUAGAGGAGAGGACCAUCGGCCUAAAGAAUGCUAACAUCCACAUUGGAUUGAGGCUCUCAGACAUUAAUUAACCAUGGGGAUGAUUCUUCACAGACAUGCCCACAGACCAAUCUGAUACAGAUUGUUCAAUGGAGAAUCUUUUCAGGUGACUUCCAGUUUGAGUUUUGUUGAUAGAUAAUAUUGACUUGGACAUGGUAAAGCAAUAUUAUUGUGUACAUAUGAAUGCUGCUGGAGGAUAUUUAUAUAAAGUCAGAGGACUGGAUGAGUAAGAUACAUACUCAUAUGAAGUAAAAUUUGUUAUUCCAAUGUGAGUGGGAAACAUCCAAUGGCAAGAAAGGAGGACCCUGGGAGAGUGGGAGGGCAGAGGAAAGGUGAGUGCUCUUUCUCAUAUAUUCUUUCCUUCUCCUCUGCCACAGAAUUAAAAUUCCCCUUUCUUUCCAUGGGCAUGAGAACUUUGGAGUCUUUGCAUUCUGGACUCUGGGACUCCAAGAACCAGGAUCAGUGUCUCCUGGAGGCUUCAUGUCUUUAUUCUUGAACAUAAUUAUACUACUGUCUUUAUUCCUAGUUCUAAAGCUUUGGGAUUUUGAUUGAGCCAUGCUACUGUCUUCACUGGUUUUCCAGCAUAGAGGACCUUCAGUGAGACUUCUAAUCCUCUGCAAUCAUGUCUUUUUUUUUAUCCCUGUUAAGUUUCUUCUGGUAGUAUAUACACUUUCACACAGUCACACACCCUUCCUAAUGUCCUAUCAUUCAGUGUCUGACCACACAGGCAAGAACCUCUAAGAUUCCAGUGUACUUAAGGAAUUCUGGCCUCUAGUGGGACAGUGGCCUGCUUGUAAUGCUGUGGAUGAUGCAUUUUCACAUGUUUGGUAUGAGCAAACCUACUGUCCCACCACUUGGAAAUAUAGAGCAAACACUGUGUUUAAUACAUAAUACUUACCAGUGUUAACAAAUAGUUACAUCACUUACAUGAUUAUUAUCCUGUAAAUUUUUGUACAUUAUUUUAAAGGAUCAUACAUACUUGCCAAAAGAUUUCUGUAAAAUAAUGUGCAUUUUUAUACUGUGUUAUAGGCAGAUUUACUUUUAAAAUUUAUUUGUUGCAUAAAUUGACCAUUUAUUAAAGAAAGGAAAUGUGUGUACUGAUGAGUGUUCAUGUGUACGAGGAACUGUGUCUAAAAUUAUUUGAGUAUUUUGUACAGAUACUGAAUGAGUGCCAGUCAAUCUUUAUCCUUUAGUACUGGAUCCUGUGCUGGGAGAAGUCACAUCCAUGUGAUGCUUGAUUGCAUCAAUAUAUCACAUUGAGGGGCUGACCUGUGCCAUUUAGAAUUGUAUGAAUAUACUUGGUGCUGUUUGCACAAUGAUUGAACGGAAUAAUGACUCAUUUCCAGGAUUUCCCAUUACUAAUAAUACACAAUUAUAUGGUUCAUUGUUUUUGUCUCUUCAACUGCUCCAGAGUAUAUGUGUGAAACAUAGUUUAAAGCAAUCCUGUUUCUAAUUCAAAUAAAAAAAGUUGAAAAAAAUAAAUUGACUAGAGUUCAAAAAUGAAAGAUUAGUUAAAUGAGAAACACAUAUUGAUGUAUGUAAUAUAAAUUAAUUGAUAUGGUUACACAGGCUGAGUACUUUCAUCAUUGUCAUUCAGCAAGUAGAGACUUGAGUUGAUACUGAAGGCAAGAACAAAAGAGAAGAGCUAUGGACAGCAAUCUAGAAAAAACAAAUUUUCCAUUUUCCUCAAUUUUUGUUCUAGUCAUUCCUUCAAC